Molecule: ribosomal RNA, 418 nt
Filed under: uncultured bacterium
Lineage: Bacteria
Description: bacterial SSU rRNA
Rfam family: Bacterial small subunit ribosomal RNA
Source: RNAcentral
GUAGACCGGCGCACGGGUGCGUAACGCGUAUGCAAUCUACCUUUUGCAGAGGGAUAGCCCAGAGAAAUUUGGAUUAAUACCUCAUAGUGUUAUUAGAUGGCAUCAUUUGAUAACUAAAGUUCCAACGGUAAAGAUGGGCAUGCGUCUUAUUAGCUAGAUGGUAAGGUAACGGCUUACCAUGGCUACGAUAGGUAGGGGUCCUGAGAGGGAGAUCCCCCACACUGGUACUGAGACACGGACCAGACUCCUACGGGAGGCAGCAGUGAGGAAUAUUGGACAAUGGGCGCAAGCCUGAUCCAGCCAUGCCGCGUGCAGGAAGAAGCAUCUAUGGUGUGUAAACUGCUUUUGUACGGGAAGAAACACUCCUACGUGUAGGAGCUUGACGGUACCGUAAGAAUAAGGAUCGGCUAACUCCGUG